UCGAUGCGAUCCCUUGGGAAG
RNAcentral lists this microRNA (21 nucleotides) under Prunus persica (peach). RNAcentral describes it as "microRNA miRNA_55". Lineage: Eukaryota; Viridiplantae; Streptophyta; Magnoliopsida; Rosales; Rosaceae. The record is from RNAcentral.